RNAcentral lists this long non-coding RNA (1063 nucleotides) under Ailuropoda melanoleuca (giant panda). Its description in RNAcentral is "lncRNA (ENSAMEG00000027098.1)". The record is from RNAcentral. Lineage: Eukaryota; Metazoa; Chordata; Mammalia; Carnivora; Ursidae.
AUACAGCAUCUCCAAAAUGUCUGCGGUGAAUUGACCAAGGCAACGUGUUUAAAUGAAAUAAUACAAAACAAACAGCAAACAAAAAAGAAUGCAGAAGGCUUCACUUGCAGCUAGAGGCCUUGGUAAUUCUGGAGCUGUCACUGCCUUUGUAUGGAGCAUUUACUAUGUCAUAAUCCUGUGACAGGUGCUGAGAGGUGAUAGGAGGCUGUAAAAGAAAAGCUGAGCUGGAUAUAGCUUUGUGCAUCUUGCAGAGGACCUAAGGGGUGAAGGCUGAAACAGGCUUCUAAGCUAGUUAGAACCCAGUGAAAAUAAACGUAAAUGUUUGCCUCGUGCAUUACAACAUGGUUUCACGGGUAUGUUCCCAUAUAAUCUUCACUACUGCCCUAUGUGACUGCUAGGGGGGGAAUGACAGAAAUGCAAGAUGUAACAGUGUAUGAAAGUUUUGACCCACUUGGAGUUUAUAUUAUGUGCCAGGCCUUGUGCUAAACCCUGCAAUGCAACAUUUCAUUUCACACUUUGAUUGAGGCACUAUUAUAAUUCUCUAUUUUACAGGUGAAGACACUGAGGCUGGAAAAGUGAAGUCUUGAUCAGGACGUUGCUAUGUAAUCUUGCUGGAAUCCGGCACACACUUGAGACAGUAGGAAAACAAUCUGAGGAAACUGAGCAAAAUGACUUAUAGUCCAGGAGGAAUAUUUUUCCUACCAUGUUCAUGUAAUUGGACAGGAAAUUCAACUAAUAAUCCAUCCUUGUUAUGCCAGUUUUAAAAAGGUAAGUGCUUCAUCCCUCUUUACUGUUUGCCUUCUUAAGAAAUCAUAGUGGUUCCCAGAAUCCAGUGUGCACCCGAUCAUCUAGAGAAUUGCUAAAAUGUAGAUUCUCGGGCUUCACUCCCCAUCCCCACCCUGAGAUUCUGACUCAGUAGGUCUGAAAAGGCCCAAGAAUAUGCAUUUUUAGCAAUACCUGCAGGAGAUCACCUGCAUGCCACACAGUUUAGUCACAAAACUAGGUAACAGUUCUCUCCACUGUUCUGUUUUGGGGCUGAAGCUGCCCCACCUAUUCAUCCUCU